UACGAAGGGGGCUAGCGUUGCUCGGAAUUACUGGGCGUAAAGCGCACGUAGGCGGAUUGUUAAGUCGGGGGUGAAAUCCUGGAGCUCAACUCCAGAACUGCCUUCGAAACUGGCGAUCUUGAGUCCGGGAGAGGUGAGUGGAACUGCGAGUGUAGAGGUGAAAUUCGUAGAUAUUCGCAAGAACACCAGUGGCGAAGGCGGCUCACUGGCCCGAUACUGACGCUGAGGCACGAAAGCGUGGGGAGCAAACAGG
RNAcentral lists this ribosomal RNA (253 nucleotides) under uncultured bacterium. RNAcentral describes it as "partial 16S ribosomal RNA". It matches the Rfam family "Bacterial small subunit ribosomal RNA", at positions 524 to 776 of the family's 1533-position model. The record is from RNAcentral.